UACGUAGGGUGCAAGCGUUGUUCGGAUUUACUGGGCGUAAAGGGCGCGUAGGCGGCCACCGCAAGUCGACUGUGAAAUCUCCGGGCUUAACCCGGAAAGGUCAGCUGAUACUGCAGGGCUAGAGUGCAGAAGGGGCAACUGGAAUUCUCGGUGUAGCGGUGAAAUGCGUAGAUAUCGAGAGGAACACCUGCGGCGAAGGCGGGUUGCUGGGCUGACACUGACGCUGACAGCGCGAAAGCUAGGGGAGCGAACGGG
Molecule: ribosomal RNA, 255 nt
Filed under: uncultured bacterium
Lineage: Bacteria
Description: partial 16S ribosomal RNA
Rfam family: Bacterial small subunit ribosomal RNA
Source: RNAcentral